Molecule: transfer RNA, 72 nt
Filed under: Elusimicrobia bacterium RIFCSPLOWO2_12_FULL_59_9
Lineage: Bacteria; Pseudomonadati; Elusimicrobiota
Also listed under: 1 other name
Description: tRNA-Arg
Rfam family: tRNA
About the family: Transfer RNA (tRNA) molecules are approximately 80 nucleotides in length. Their secondary structure includes four short double-helical elements and three loops (D, anti-codon, and T loops). Further hydrogen bonds mediate the characteristic L-shaped molecular structure. tRNAs have two regions of fundamental functional importance: the anti-codon, which is responsible for specific mRNA codon recognition, and the 3' end, to which the tRNAs corresponding amino acid is attached (by aminoacyl-tRNA synthetases). tRNAs cope with the degeneracy of the genetic code in two manners: having more than one tRNA (with a specific anti-codon) for a particular amino acid; and 'wobble' base-pairing, i.e. permitting non-standard base-pairing at the 3rd anti-codon position.
Source: RNAcentral
GCGCCCAUAGCUCAACGGAUAGAGUGGAAGCCUGCGAAGCUUUAGAUCCAGGUUCGACUCCUGGUGGGCGCA